GCCCUUAUAGUCUAGUGGUAUGACACUUCAGUCCUAUAAACGUCAAUGUCCUGUACCUCUGACUGAGGAGCGUGGGUUCAAAUCCCACUAAGGGUA
Molecule: transfer RNA, 96 nt
Filed under: Rhodocollybia butyracea
Lineage: Eukaryota; Fungi; Basidiomycota; Agaricomycetes; Agaricales; Omphalotaceae
Rfam family: tRNA
About the family: Transfer RNA (tRNA) molecules are approximately 80 nucleotides in length. Their secondary structure includes four short double-helical elements and three loops (D, anti-codon, and T loops). Further hydrogen bonds mediate the characteristic L-shaped molecular structure. tRNAs have two regions of fundamental functional importance: the anti-codon, which is responsible for specific mRNA codon recognition, and the 3' end, to which the tRNAs corresponding amino acid is attached (by aminoacyl-tRNA synthetases). tRNAs cope with the degeneracy of the genetic code in two manners: having more than one tRNA (with a specific anti-codon) for a particular amino acid; and 'wobble' base-pairing, i.e. permitting non-standard base-pairing at the 3rd anti-codon position.
Source: Rfam by way of RNAcentral